This 3029-nucleotide ribosomal RNA is filed under the name Salmonella enterica subsp. enterica serovar Typhimurium. RNAcentral describes it as "23S ribosomal RNA". It matches the Rfam family "Bacterial large subunit ribosomal RNA". Lineage: Bacteria; Pseudomonadati; Pseudomonadota; Gammaproteobacteria; Enterobacterales; Enterobacteriaceae. The record is from RNAcentral. RNAcentral also lists the same sequence under 1 other name.
GGGUUGUGAGGUUAAGCGACUAAGCGUACACGGUGGAUGCCCUGGCAGUCAGAGGCGAUGAAGGGCGUGCUAAUCUGCGAUAAGCGCCGGUAAGGUGAUAUGAACCGUUAUAACCGGCGAUACCCGAAUGGGGAAACCCAGUGUGAUUCGUCACACUAUCAUUAACUGAAUCCAUAGGUUAAUGAGGCGAACCGGGGGAACUGAAACAUCUAAGUACCCCGAGGAAAAGAAAUCAACCGAGAUUCCCCCAGUAGCGGCGAGCGAACGGGGAGGAGCCCAGAGCCUGAAUCAGCAUGUGUGUUAGUGGAAGCGUCUGGAAAGGCGCGCGAUACAGGGUGACAGCCCCGUACACAAAAGCGCAUGUGCUGUGAGCUCGAUGAGUAGGGCGGGACACGUGGUAUCCUGUCUGAAUAUGGGGGGACCAUCCUCCAAGGCUAAAUACUCCUGACUGACCGAUAGUGAACCAGUACCGUGAGGGAAAGGCGAAAAGAACCCCGGCGAGGGGAGUGAAAAAGAACCUGAAACCGUGUACGUACAAGCAGUGGGAGCCCCACCACCAAAGCAUUCUCUGGUGUUGAAGGCCCUGCAAAGCAGCAUCGCGGUGGCGGAGCGUCGUUUGCGACGCCCAACACACAAAACAAGCGGUGAAUGCUUUGGGGUGGGGUGACUGCGUACCUUUUGUAUAAUGGGUCAGCGACUUAUAUUCUGUAGCAAGGUUAACCGAAUAGGGGAGCCGGAGGGAAACCGAGUCUUAAUUGGGCGUUAAGUUGCAGGGUAUAGACCCGAAACCCGGUGAUCUAGCCAUGGGCAGGUUGAAGGUUGGGUAACACUAACUGGAGGACCGAACCGACUAAUGUUGAAAAAUUAGCGGAUGACCUGUGGCUGGGGGUGAAAGGCCAAUCAAACCGGGAGAUAGCUGGUUCUCCCCGAAAGCUAUUUAGGUAGCGCCUCGUGAAUUCAUCUCCGGGGGUAGAGCACUGUUUCGGCUAGGGGGCCAUCCCGGCUUACCAACCCGAUGCAAACUGCGAAUACCGGAGAAUGUUAUCACGGGAGACACACGGCGGGUGCUAACGUCCGUCGUGAAGAGGGAAACAACCCAGACCGCCAGCUAAGGUCCCAAAGUCAUGGUUAAGUGGGAAACGAUGUGGGAAGGCCCAGACAGCCAGGAUGUUGGCUUAGAAGCAGCCAUCAUUUAAAGAAAGCGUAAUAGCUCACUGGUCGAGUCGGCCUGCGCGGAAGAUGUAACGGGGCUAAACCAUGCACCGAAGCUGCGGCAGCGACGCUGAUGCGUUGUUGGGUAGGGGAGCGUUCUGUAAGCCUGUGAAGGUGUGUCGUGAGGCAUGCUGGAGGUAUCAGAAGUGCGAAUGCUGACAUAAGUAACGAUAAAGCGGGUGAAAAGCCCGCUCGCCGGAAGACCAAGGGUUCCUGUCCAACGUUAAUCGGGGCAGGGUGAGUCGACCCCUAAGGCGAGGCCGAAAGGCGUAGUCGAUGGGAAACGGGUUAAUAUUCCCGUACUUGGUGUUACUGCGAAGGGGGGACGGAGAAGGCUAUGUUGGCCGGGCGACGGUUGUCCCGGUUUAAGCGUGUAGGUGUGUGUUCCAGGUAAAUCCGGUUCACUUUAACACUGAGGCGUGACGACGAGGCACUACGGUGCUGAAGCAACAAAUGCCCUGCUUCCAGGAAAAGCCUCUAAGCAUCAGGUAACACGAAAUCGUACCCCAAACCGACACAGGUGGUCAGGUAGAGAAUACCAAGGCGCUUGAGAGAACUCGGGUGAAGGAACUAGGCAAAAUGGUGCCGUAACUUCGGGAGAAGGCACGCUGACACGUAGGUGAAGUGAUUUACUCAUGGAGCUGAAGUCAGUCGAAGAUACCAGCUGGCUGCAACUGUUUAUUAAAAACACAGCACUGUGCAAACACGAAAGUGGACGUAUACGGUGUGACGCCUGCCCGGUGCCGGAAGGUUAAUUGAUGGGGUCAGCGCAAGCGAAGCUCCUGAUCGAAGCCCCGGUAAACGGCGGCCGUAACUAUAACGGUCCUAAGGUAGCGAAAUUCCUUGUCGGGUAAGUUCCGACCUGCACGAAUGGCGUAAUGAUGGCCAGGCUGUCUCCACCCGAGACUCAGUGAAAUUGAACUCGCUGUGAAGAUGCAGUGUACCCGCGGCAAGACGGAAAGACCCCGUGAACCUUUACUAUAGCUUGACACUGAACAUUGAGCCUUGAUGUGUAGGAUAGGUGGGAGGCUUUGAAGUGUGGACGCCAGUCUGCAUGGAGCCGACCUUGAAAUACCACCCUUUAAUGUUUGAUGUUCUAACGUGGACCCGUAAUCCGGGUUGCGGACAGUGUCUGGUGGGUAGUUUGACUGGGGCGGUCUCCUCCUAAAGAGUAACGGAGGAGCACGAAGGUUGGCUAAUCCUGGUCGGACAUCAGGAGGUUAGUGCAAUGGCAUAAGCCAGCUUGACUGCGAGCGUGACGGCGCGAGCAGGUGCGAAAGCAGGUCAUAGUGAUCCGGUGGUUCUGAAUGGAAGGGCCAUCGCUCAACGGAUAAAAGGUACUCCGGGGAUAACAGGCUGAUACCGCCCAAGAGUUCAUAUCGACGGCGGUGUUUGGCACCUCGAUGUCGGCUCAUCACAUCCUGGGGCUGAAGUAGGUCCCAAGGGUAUGGCUGUUCGCCAUUUAAAGUGGUACGCGAGCUGGGUUUAGAACGUCGUGAGACAGUUCGGUCCCUAUCUGCCGUGGGCGCUGGAGAACUGAGGGGGGCUGCUCCUAGUACGAGAGGACCGGAGUGGACGCAUCACUGGUGUUCGGGUUGUCAUGCCAAUGGCACUGCCCGGUAGCUAAAUGCGGAAGAGAUAAGUGCUGAAAGCAUCUAAGCACGAAACUUGCCCCGAGAUGAGUUCUCCCUGAGACUUUAGGUCUCCUGAAGGAACGUUGAAGACGACGACGUUGAUAGGCCGGGUGUGUAAGCGCAGCGAUGCGUUGAGCUAACCGGUACUAAUGAACCGUGAGGCUUAACCUUACAACGCCGAAG